ACGAACGCUGGCGGCGUGCUUAACACAUGCAAGUCGAACGGUGAUGGCCAGCUUGCUGGUCUGAUCAGUGGCGAACGGGUGAGUAACACGUGAGCAACCUGCCCUAGACUCUGGAAUAACCAUGGGAAACGAUGGCUAAUACCGGAUACGAGACGCACACGCAUGUGUGGCGUCUGGAAAGAUUUAUCGGUCUGGGAUGGGCUCGCGGCCUAUCAGCUUGUUGGUGGGGUAGUGGCCUACCAAGGCGACGACGGGUAGCCG
This 261-nucleotide ribosomal RNA is filed under the name Cellulomonas sp. ISO568_OTU4438. RNAcentral's name for it is "partial 16S ribosomal RNA". It matches the Rfam family "Bacterial small subunit ribosomal RNA", at positions 29 to 289 of the family's 1533-position model. Lineage: Bacteria; Bacillati; Actinomycetota; Actinomycetes; Micrococcales; Cellulomonadaceae. The record is from RNAcentral.